Long non-coding RNA from Camarhynchus parvulus, 4252 nucleotides. RefSeq lists it as uncharacterized. The record is from RefSeq and is a predicted model, not a curated record. The transcript has 2 exons. Lineage: Eukaryota; Metazoa; Chordata; Aves; Passeriformes; Thraupidae.
CUGAGCACUGGAGCCUGCUGCUCUGGCAGCCAGCCAUAUCCUGUCCUGCCCCACAGGAUCCAGGGGGUUAUCCUCCAACCAUUUGUUCCUGGCAUCCUGCUGAGUCAGUUUUGACUGUCCCUGGUAUGAAUAAUUGUCAGGCUUGGUACUUAAAUACCUGGACACUGUGUGAAUAAUGAGGCCCUUGUACCUUCUGAACAAGUUUACAAAACCACCUAAAUUCUUGUGGGCUUUCUUGCAGUAGGGACAGUCAGCAGCACUGCUGUUUUAAUGGCAGUGAAUUUGACUUCUGCAGAAAUACUGUCUUGAACUUAUUUAUCUUAAGAUUUUUCUUUCUUGAGGAUAUAAAGAAGUAAAAAGUUUUGAGGAAAUAGUAGAAUUUUAAUGCCAAUAUCAUCUUAACUGAAAGCAAAGAAGCACAUGACAUUGAGAGCUUGAAAGCUUUGUUAAAAAUUCUCUUGUUAGCAGUUAGAGCGUGUCUCUCUGACAGCUAACUGCCUUAUACAGGGUUCAAGCUUCUGACAUCUGAAACUUUUUUCACUUAAAUUUUGUCUUAAAUUUCUACCAUAUUCAGAAAGGGGGCAUGGGUUGUAGAAUUUCACCGUCUCCUGCUCUUAGUAGCCACUAUGUAGAAUUGGUUUUUGCUAACAGUAAAUUUAAUUACCUGAAAUGAAUGCAGUACAACCAAAAGAAACUAUUUCACCAUCUUCCAACUUAGGAAGUUAUGUAAUGCUUUGAGACAAAGAUAUCAUAAAGAGCUUUUUUCUUUUCUCUUAUUUUCAUUGAGUUACUUGCACUGAAUUCUCUAGUUUCUUUCUCAUAAACUUAAGUGGGAAAAAAUACAUUGUGCUCUUUCACUUGUAAAGUCCAGAAUAAGAGAACACGCUUUAGGACUUUAAUGAAGGAACCUGGCAAUGUAAGUAUUGUAAUUUCCUUUAUGUUUUUAGUAGGCAGCUGGUGGCCUUGUUAAACUUAUGGGUUAUGUAUGAAAAAUCACAAGAGCAAAAUAAAAAUAGUUUUGUAGUUGCCUUUACUUCACAUGCUUUUCUUAAACAACAAAUUGCAGUAAUUGAAGUUUGGCAGCUUUUUUUUUUUUAAGAAAAAGCUAAAUUAUGGGUAAAACACCUUGGUUUAAUACAAUUUGUGUUUCUGUUAACUAGCAGCAGAAUUACAGCAUUUGCUACUUACUGGUAGAGAAGAAAAAUUCCACAGAACUGCCAGUACAGCAUUCACUUUACAAAGAAGAUUAAAAGAAAAUGAGGAGCUGACAUGAUUUGCAUCCACUGGGAACCUUCUCUGAACUGUUCUUCAAGAAUGGGUCAUUGCACACACAGCCAUCCGUAAUGUGUGACAUUUUGUAACCGUCUCUGAUUAAACAGAAGUGAACCGCUGUUUGUGUGUAUUUUUCUUUUCUCCUCUUGAAAACCUAUUUAAAUUACUGCAACAGAUGUCAUGGUGAGAAUGACUUGGUACCAGCUUUUUGAUUCUCUGUAAGCUGCAGAGACUCAUUUGUGUCAGUUCUGACUUAAAGUGGAGACAAACAAGUGAAUCCUAACUUCUUGACCUGUAACUUCCUUUUGCUGUUGAUCUGCUGUCCUGCUGCUAAGCAGACUAGAAAAAGCUAUUGAAGUUAGAGGAGUGAGAGUAUGGAGGAAAAAUUUCUAAAAGUGUUUUCAUAAAAGUUGGUGGCACGGGCAUUAUGGGAGGUGCUCUGUUCUAAACCCUUUCUGAGCAGAGAGAUGAGGUAGCUUGGGAAAUGGCACCUCCUGUGUAUGGGGUGAGAAUGGAUUACUGUGCUAGGCUGGCUGGGCUUAUUUAGCUACCACUGUUCACUCAUGGGUUAGUUUCUGAGAGCUGGUAAAGGGAAGAUAAAUAGAUAAUUUUACGCUAUGGCAUUUUGCAUUGGCUGUGUGUGACAAGGAGGAGGUGCAGUAGAGGACCCUUCAAGGGAACACUGCUGCUGUGCAGAAGUUCCUAAUGGGCAUUUGUCCUCUGGCCUUUUCAGCUCCAGGAAAUCUGAGAGUUUAUAUUCCAGAAGCAUAGGUACAUUUGACAGAUACUGGAUCAAUGUUGUUCAAGUCAUACAGCUAUUGAUAAAAUUUUGUAACUGUUGAUUUGUUACUAUCCUAAUAUAUAGCCUUUAACUUAUUCUUGUGAGUUGCCUUAUAAAAUUGUACAGCUAUUGAUAUUGUCAAUAUUCUAGAAGUGUAUGUAUAAAAGUUUGUGAUAAUAUGUAAUGUAAAUUUGAGUACUGAAUCAAGGUCAGUGCACAGACACAUUCUGAAGUUAAACAGAGAUUACACAAAAGAUGUUUGUCCUGGGUUUACUAUCUUCUGCAGAGGGCCCUGCAAAAGACAGUAAACCCAACAUUAGUUUAGGAAAAGCCUUAAGGUUGAUGUUCUAGACUGUGAAAAACAAAACUAAAUAGAGAACUUAGAACUUAACUUUUUUUAGUUAUUUAUUUGGUCACUAUUAUAGUUGUUUAUUCUGAUGUUGCCCGGUGGUUACCCAGGAACAGUCCACUUUUAGUUUUAAAUGUGAGACUGGACCCUUCCAGUGCUGUACCCUCUAAGAGCACAGUGCACACAGUACUGUACUACAUACCUUAGGUUCUUUUGAUGGCUGGAUCAUUUUCAACCUCAACAUCGAAAGCGACAAGACCAUAAAAUGAAAAGCCUAAAUAAAAGGUCACAUUUUCAUUUCCAACAGGUGCUGAUUCAUGAUGGAGUGGCAAGACACGGAGUUCCUUCCCGUGACCUCGUAUAAAUAAUUGUGUGUCCUUGGACCAGCCAGAAACUCUUUUGAGAUUGUCACGAAUUUUGGGAAUAUUCCAUACAGUUCCAUGCUGCCACUUCAUUCUCCUCUCAUCUAAGGACCCCACCAUCAGUUUCUCAAUUUUAGUUUUGUGCACUAUCUUACUUAAGCCAUAACCCUUUCCCAGAAGAAAAUGGGUGUAGAUUCUUUUCUUUCUGGUAGGAACAUCUUUCCUUUUGAUGUCAUAUAAGCGUUUCAGAGUUUGAAGGGCUGAAGUUAAAAUUUCAUCAUUAAUGGGAUUAGGCUCUUUGUCUAAUGCCUCAUCUGGCCAGUACAGCAAGGUGAGCAAAAAAUAGGCACUUGCUGGAAAUUGUCUCUUUCCUUUGAAGAAUCUUAGACUGAGCUCACGAAGAGUUGGCAGUGGAAGGAGUUUGGCUGAUCCUGGGGCUAAGCAGGCUAAUGUGAUGUGGCACAAGAUAAAAUUGACCAAAUCAUUGUCCUCCAACUUGUUCCUCAGCGGGUUUUCUGGAUAGAAACUAAGGAUCCUUUCUAGCUUUUCAGCUGACCUGUUCUCUUUCUUAUCUGAUAAGAAAGACAGGAUAUUGGUGACAUUUCCUCCACCACUCCCAUAAAUACUCAUGUGUCUCAUGAGCUGAGUGUCAGGACCAUUGUUGCUGUCAUCUAGAAGUGAUGCUGAGAUGAAGAAUUUAGCGUAUACAGCUGCUUGCUUUCUCAGCCAUUUUCUGGGAUUAUGAAUUUGUUCUUCUUUAUCAUCAUUUUCAUCAUCCUUCUCUUGGUUUUUAUCUGUUUGGAAGUAACUUAGUUCUUCUGAAAUCCAUUCCAGAGCAUUGUACAGGUUCUGGCGCAAGCCUUUCAAGCGGGAAUGAAGCCUUCCCCAUGCUCUUUUUAUGUCUUCAGGAAUGUAAUCCGUGGUGAGAUAUUUCACUAGCUCAGUAUGUUCCCCCUCUGGACCUCUGUGGAAUACAGGCAGUGUGGAUAAAAAUCGAAGAAGGCGACAACCUACUUCUACUUCUCCAAAAUAGCCAGCGUUGUUCAUAAUUUCACGUUCUUCCUUUGCUGCCUGUUGUGCAGCCCUGAAGCAUUUCAUAGCUUUAAGAGCAAGCAAUAUCUUCUCAGUGAUCCUUUCAGGAGUAUCUUCCUCUGUCAUUUUAUCCACAGUGAAACCAAACCAUCUCCUGUAAACUUGACCUUCUGUAUCCAAAAUAAAAGAAUCAGUUGGCAAAUGUGAUUUUGCAACCUUUGCCCAGUGUUCAGCAUCUUCAAAUUUUUCAUUGCUGUAAUUUAGUCUGGCAAGCUGCUGGGCAAAAAAAGGAUCUUUUCCAAGGAGUUCAUACGCAGCUUUUAAAACCGCGAUGGCUUUUUCACAGUCUUCAGCUGCACAGACAUGUUCAAUGAAUGGGGAGAAGAGAGUGUCAGUAUUGUCACCCCUGCUUCUUUUAUCACGUCGAAUAAACAGAUGUCUGAUAAACUUUAUAAA